UUACAAGGGCAAUACACAUAAAAGUCAGAUGUGUCAAUUUUAUUUUUAGAAACGGUUGUAGUCACAAAGUAAUUGACAGAAUAAAAUGUAAAUUUCAGCAUAUUUUUUCCCACAAAAAUGUGUUAGUGCGUAGAAAUGUGAUCAGGCUGAGCACAUGGUCUUAUGGAUUUCAUAAUUUUCGGCGCUUAACGUGAAAACAGUUAAAGCACAGGAUUCACAAACAUUAAAUUUAUGCUUAAAUCUAUAUGCGAUACAUUAUGCAUAUAAUUAUAAUUCACGAUAAUACCACAUAUGGAAGUAACUGGAAUAAAUUUGGACUAUUUCCUUCGGAAGUUUACAUGACUAUCCUGUCAAAAGGCCUCCCUCGUGUUUACAUAUUUUGACAGGUCGAGUUGUUCUGGGACUAGGAACAAUGAUGAAUGAAUACCUGCACCAUGGAAACAAUGUCAUUUGCAAACUUUUUGAACCUGUGCUGGGCGUUCACAUUGACAUUUCUUGUUCAACAGGAAUACAUGAUGUCGACCAACAGUACAGCUAGAUGAAGAUAUAAAUUUAUUCAAAAAAAUAAUGGGACAAUGAAUGCUAAAAUUGCCAAGAAGAAGACUGCCAAUUUACACACCAUUUUAUACAGUUACAGUAUGAUAUGGUGAACAAAAAGCCCUCAAUGCAGCCAGUUCUGGAGCUUUGGUUAGACUAUGAACAGUAGACAUCAAAAGAUGAUCAUCUGAAGGGCCACAAUUGUUUAAAGCACUGGUCAACAAAAACUGAACUAUUUGAUGGAUCAUACAUGUGCAGAAUGUAGUACCAUAUUUCCAGAAUCAGAGAAAUAGAAAUAUCAAGUAUUAGAGAGAAAGAAAUGUAUGCAUCAUGUAUGAAGAACUGCCUAAGAAUAAUUUGCAAAAUACAUUGAAAUCUAACAAUUGCUAAUUGCAUAAUGCAUAUGGAAGUUAAGAAAGGUGUACUCUUCUGGAAAAUAUGUGUCCAAUGCAACAUUUCUUUUUCAAUUUUGUGAGCAUAAUUCUACAUAAAAAUUGUAACAUGGCUACAGGGAUAAUACAAAAGGUUUAAUCUUAUUUCCAAACACAUUGGGGGAAUCAGAGAAGAAAUAUCAAGAAUUAGGGGAAAAGAAAUAAUUGUCAUGAAUGAAAAACUUGCUUUUUAUUAAUUUACAAAAUACUUUUUAGCCUCACAACUGUUAAUAAUAUUAUGAAUAUGGAAGUUAAAAGUGUGGACUUUGAUUAAUCUUCAAGUUCUACAUAAAAAUUGUAACUUUAUAAAAUAGUCUUGUAGAAAAAGUGUAAGACUUUCAUACUUGUUUUAUAGAAAAUGUUUCUGGAUGUUUCAAUGUAAGUUUGCUAGACCCAGACCACUAGCUCCUAAGUCAAGGUUAGACUUAGAUGUCAAAGGUUAAAAGGGUCUGUUUCUGUCUGGUCAAUAACUGCCAUACAUAAAGGGAUUUUGGAAUUACUCGGCAUAAAUGUUCACCAUAAAGAGACAACGUGUUAUGCGCAAAACCCAAACCCUUGCUCCAAGGUCAAGGUCACACGUAGAGGUCAAAGGUUAAUAGAGUCUUUUUGGUGUCUGGUCAAUAACUCUGCGAUCCAUGAAGGGACUUUUAGAUAACUUGGCAUAAAUGUUCACCAUAAUGAAACAAGGUGUCAUGCCCAAGACCAAGACCCCUAGCUCGAAGGUCACACGUAGAGGCCAAAGGUCAGAUACAAAAAUGACGUUGUCCCUAGCAUUUCUUGUUCAUGCAUGGAGGAAUUUUGAUGUACAAUGGCAAAAAUGUUCAUCAUCAUGAGAUGGUGUGUCAUGAGUAAGAACCAGGCCCCUAAUCCUUUGCUGUUACUAUAAAUAGCUAUUACUGUAAAGUUCUAUUCUAUUAACCCUUAUGCUGAACAUGAUUUAUUCUGUCUUUGCGACCAGUGUAGAUCACGAUCAGCCUGCACAUCCAUGCAGGCUGAUGAUGAUCAGACUGUUCGCCAUUCAAUCAGUAUAUUUUUGGUAAGCAUCCCUUUUAACAGUUAAUGGUACUGUCCAAAUUGAAAAAUGGACAAGUUCAUUAUAGAAAUUCAGCAGGGUAAGGGUUAAUAUUAGCCCUAGGAGAAAAUUGGGACUACUUUUCUGUAGUACAACACGCAUGUUACAUCCAGUUUUUGAUGUAUUUUGACCUAAGGCUACCUGAUAAGUACUUUUGUGUGGACUUAGAUUUUUUUUCAGAUUAACUUCUCUUUGUUGUCACUAUAACAAACGAUUAUUCUUGAAACUUUUUAUCCUGGUUGUUAGAAUUGGAUAUGUCACUGUUUUGGCUUUCUGUCUAUCAAACUUAUAGUUUUGUACAGAAAAUACUUUAUUACAUCAUCUACCUGACGAGCAUAUAUUUAACAUCCUGGCACUCUUGUUUUAUUUUGUUCAUGCCAAGAUGCUGUAUUGGCAUACAGUAUGUAUGAUGAAAAUGUCCUUAGGCAGGGGACGUUGCUAACUCUGUUACAAAUUCUUGUUGUUGUUUUUUCUGGAGUUGUUGCCCUAUUUGAUCUUGAACUAAUUCAUCACAUCGUGAACUCGUGAACUUAAGUCGAACAGAUCCAUCCAACUGAAUUGAAACUAGGUAUACAUCAGAAGCAUGAAAUGAAUAUGUACAUGUUGCUCUGACUUUUAUGAUCGAUUAUUUUGUCUGGAGUUGUGGCCCUUCUUUAACGACGAAUGACAACUACAUUGUAGUUUCCUUCUCUUCAUUUCAAAUAAAACUUGUUAAGCAUCAUAAAUAUUAUGUAGACAUGCGCAUUUGUUUCUUGUUCAGUUGUUUAACUUCUAUAUAUUUUGCCUUAAUAACAUUAUUGACCCGUCGUUAUUAUAAAUUAUUGAAUGAAACAUUUUUUACCUCCGUGAAGGAAUAUUGUCAAACUAUACCGAUAAGGGGAAGAGUUUGCUUCCUUUUGUAGCACAACUGUCUAUGCAUUAUUGUGUCUUGCUCAUAUAUAACACUUUUAUUUGUGUGAACAUGCAUGAAUUUGUUAUACUGCAAAUUAAAACAGUCAUCAUUGA
Molecule: long non-coding RNA, 3045 nt
Organism: Mercenaria mercenaria
Lineage: Eukaryota; Metazoa; Mollusca; Bivalvia; Venerida; Veneridae
Exons: 5
Source: RefSeq, a predicted model, not a curated record